CCUACGGGUGGCAGCAGUGGGGAAUAUUGCACAAUGGGGGAAAGCCUGAUGCAGCGACGCCGCGUGAGCGAUGAAGGACUUCGGUAUGUAAAGCUCUAUCAGCAGGGAAGAAAAUGACGGUACCUGACUAAUAAGCCCUGGCUAACUACGUGCCAGCAGCCGCGGUAUUACGUAGGGGCCAAGCGUUAUCCGGAUUGUCUGGGUGUAAAGGGGGCGUAGACGGUCCUGCAAGCCAGAUGUGAAAGCCCGGGGCUCAACCCCGGGACUGCAUGUGAAACUGUAAGGCUAGAGUGUCGGAGAGGCAGGCGGAAUUCCUGGUGUAGCGGUGAAAUGCGUAGAUAUUAGGAGGAACACCAGUGGCGAAGGCGGCCUGCUGGACGAUGACUGACGUUGAGGCUCGAAAGCGUGGGGAGCAAACAGGAUUAGAUACCCCGGUAGUC
RNAcentral lists this ribosomal RNA (440 nucleotides) under uncultured bacterium. RNAcentral's name for it is "partial 16S ribosomal RNA". It matches the Rfam family "Bacterial small subunit ribosomal RNA", at positions 338 to 795 of the family's 1533-position model. The record is from RNAcentral.